This 592-nucleotide ribosomal RNA is filed under the name uncultured bacterium. RNAcentral describes it as "bacterial SSU rRNA". It matches the Rfam family "Bacterial small subunit ribosomal RNA", at positions 334 to 917 of the family's 1533-position model. The record is from RNAcentral.
UACUCCUACGGGAGGCAGCAGUGGGGAAUUUUGGACAAUGGGCGAAAGCCUGAUCCAGCAAUGCCGCGUGUGUGAAGAAGGCCUUCGGGUUGUAAAGCACUUUUGUCCGGAAAGAAAUCCUUGACUCUAAUACAGUCGGGGGAUGACGGUACCGGAAGAAUAAGCACCGGCUAACUACGUGCCAGCAGCCGCGGUAAUACGUAGGGUGCAAGCGUUAAUCGGAAUUACUGGGCGUAAAGCGUGCGCAGGCGGUUUGCUAAGACCGAUGUGAAAUCCCCGGGCUCAACCUGGGAACUGCAUUGGUGACUGGCAGGCUAGAGUAUGGCAGAGGGGGGGGUAGAAUUCCACGUGUAGCAGUGAAAUGCGUAGAGAUGUGGAGGAAUACCGAUGGCGAAGGCAGCCCCCUGGGCCAAUACUGACGCUCAUGCACGAAAGCGUGGGGAGCAAACAGGAUUAGAUACCCUGGUAGUCCACGCCCUAAACGAUGUCAACUAGUUGUUGGGGAUUCAUUUCCUUAGUAACGUAGCUAACGCGUGAAGUUGGCCGCCUGGGGAGUACGGUCGCAAGAUUAAAACUCAAAGGAAUUGACGGA